CGGCUUAAUUAUAUAAAAAUAUAACAAAAAUUUAUCUUACAAAAGGUUCCAUCAAAACCCUAGAUAACAAAUUAGCUAUUCAUAAUAGUAUGUAAAACUACAAUACUAAAAGUCAUAACCAACAAUGAAAAAUAGGAAGAGGAAGGAAAAACUCGUAGAAGAACUCCCCGCCUUGCUCCUACUGUGUCUCUGCCUCCUUUGGCCGAAUCUGUGUCUCAAAUCUGUCCAACCUCCUCAAAAUACCAUUUUUUCAUGUAUAUAUACCAAGUAGGGUUGGGCUCAAACAAUAACACCUUCUCCUAUGCGAAAAAGGACACAUUUCUUGGACAGUACAUGCGCGGACGCGCUUGGACCAUGCUCAGACCGCGCAUAUCCACUUUGAUUUUGCCUGACGAGCGCGGCCGCGCUCUUGACGUGAAAUUUUCACCCUAUUCCAUUUGGAAUUUGAAAAAUAUAAAACAUGAGAGUUGUAGCCCUUUGAGUUAGCUUUCCAACCAUAUAUUGUGGAGCCCAAAUGGAGUUCUGAGCAAAAAAGUGUGCAAUAUGCCUACUCGAUUCUUCGUUUGUUCUAACUAUCAUCAGUUGACCCCCGAGCACGAUCCCGACUUAAUUCCUUGAGCUUUUACUCAGAAUUCAAAGCUCCAAAUCCCUUGAGUUCAUUCCAUAACAUCAACAUAGCUGGAAAUUACUCCUAUAAGGCAUAAAACACGUAAUUAGUACAAGACACUAGCGAUUAAAGCUCAAACUCAAUUAAAGUGCAGUAAAUUUGAGUGUAAUAAGCGACUAAAACACGUAAUUAUAGCUAUCAUCAGCAUGAUCUAUACAACACAAACGAAAAGAGCAAAUGCAAAACUUCCAUAAAUGACUCUAUUCGUAGAAAUACUAGAGAUGCCUAUGUUCUUGAUUCCCCACGUGUCCUAUUAUUCUAUUAUCUAUUCGUGGGUCUCAGAAAAUACUCAAGUUGAUAAAGUUUACUUCGUGAUAUUAAUCAAAAGCAUAAUGGUCUUAUCAUAUUCCGAAAGAUUUUAUUAACAUACUUCUCAUGCAUUGCAUUAAUUUACAUGUACAUUGACUCAUGGCCAGAUGACACUAUAUACGCGUAUAUAUGUAUACGAGAUAUGGAAAAAGGUUACAUAGUUAUAUAUGCACCACCACAUGAUUAGUUGGUUUAUUUUUAUGAUUUUACCCGUAGUGAUCGAGAUGAUGUGAUGGGAUGGCCUCAGAGGCUUGAUGAUGUUAUGAACAUAUAUACCUAUGCACAACAUGACAUUCAUACGCAUAUACAUGACCGUAUAAUUAUUUCAUGAUUUACAGAGUUAUCCAUACUUAUAGCUUGGGUCAUUUAAUCCAUGUAUCUUCCAUGUAUUUUAUAUACUUAUUUAUACGCCUUACAUACUCGGUACAUUAUUCGUACCGACGUUCUUUUUUUGGGGACAAUGCAUUCAUACCUACAGGUAUAGGCAAUCAGUUUGACGAGCCCUCAUAGUAGACUGGGUUAACAUUUAGCGAAGGAUCAGUAAGACUCCUCCUCAUUCGGGAUGCAACCAAGUAUAUGAGUCAUCGUGUCAGAAUUUUGCUAUAGACUUAUGGGUAGGUCGGUACCCUGUCCUAUUUGACGUUUAUGUACUCUGAGAGGCUUGUAGACAUAUGUCAUGUAUAUGAAGGAUUGCAUGGACUUGUCAGCUAAUGUUCAGUGUACGAGUGAUCAUUUUGGUCUUAUACACCAGUAUGUCAUAUGUAUAAGUUUGUAUUCCUUCAUACUUUACUUCAGUUCAUUUACCUAUGAUAGAAUGAUAUGAAAGAUACAUUAUAUUGGUACUCGAUUGAGUAAGGUAACGGGUGCCCGUCGCAGCCUAUCGGUUUGGGUCGUGACAUUCUCCUUCAUCAUGAGAAGGCAUGUCCAUCGCCAAUUGAAUAGAAUAAAUAGCUCCCUCAAAGUUAGAAGAUGCACUAGCUAUUUUGGUCACGAAAAUAGGAAAAAGUUGAAGAUAUAAAAGAGGUGAUAAUGGCAGAAAACGCUAAAAUGGAGAGAAAGAAAGCUGCAAAAACUCUGAGGGGAAUAAGAUAAGGCUUGAAAAUUCAGAUACUAGGAAGUGAAACAACCCAAAUAGGUGAUCCCCUUCUCUAUUUAUAAGAAAACUGUCACCCAAUCGAGAAAGCCAAGCCCCGCCACAUUGUUUUCAAAAUAGAAGGGGCGCGAGAAAUGACGCAACAUAUCGAGAACAUGUGCCAUAAUAACAUAUGAUGAAAUGACAUCAUUUCAAACUAAUGUAACGGUCAGAUGUUGUUCUCUCGAAGUGCCAUAUUGUAACCCCAUCAUAUAAAUGUUGCUACUCGACCGCCACGCCCAGAUUUCUCAGGUUGCGAGUGGCGAAGUUCUCCCACCGAGCUCGUCCAAAAAACAACCUUGGCAGACGGAGAGACUAACUAUAUGGGUCGAAAUCUGACCAAGGGAAUCGUGCUCAAAGGUAGAUUACUAAGAGUCGAUUAGGCUGAGGUCGUACUCGAGAUAGAAGGAACCAAUUGGCGAGCUGAGUAACCAAUGUCGAGGUCGGAUACUCAGGUUGGCCAUUAAGGCUAGUUUUGUAGCAAGAUUUCAGGAGGAUAUUCUAUUGAAUAUUCUCUGUACUUGUACUUUAUAUUAGGUAAGGGAUAUGUCCCAUAUAAAGGGAAAGGUAGAGAGAAGAAAGUGGCAUGUAAUGUUCUAUAUGAUAAGAACUCUUAUGAAGAGUUGACUCUCAAUAGAAAUAAAAAUAUUGCCUUUCCAUAAAGAUUCGAUUUGCUAUUUAUCCCACAUUUCCCCCAUCAGAUCCGAGAAAAAUCCCUCUAUUCUCAUUUUCGUUAGUCUACAUCAUUGUCAGAGUGAAGAAUCAUAUACCUCAUUCAAUGUUGGGACGAAUCAUUCUAUAUAUUUACAUUUAUUUCCAUUUAAUAUAUCUAUUGUGUUAUGAAACAAUAAAAGAACAAGAGUAAUAUUGCAGAGAAAGAGAGAGAAAAUUCUUAUUGAAUUUUUGGGGUUGUGACCCCUCUAUUUAUAGGAGGAAAAAUAACUUAGCCUCAAAGUAAAAC
This 3069-nucleotide long non-coding RNA is filed under the name Nicotiana benthamiana. Its description in RNAcentral is "long non-coding RNA (NBEN_LNC030632)". Lineage: Eukaryota; Viridiplantae; Streptophyta; Magnoliopsida; Solanales; Solanaceae. The record is from RNAcentral.